Molecule: RNA transcript, 1947 nt
Organism: Glycine soja
Lineage: Eukaryota; Viridiplantae; Streptophyta; Magnoliopsida; Fabales; Fabaceae
Gene name: serine/arginine-rich splicing factor SC35-like
Exons: 10
Source: RefSeq, a predicted model, not a curated record
GCGAGUAUUCAAGAAGAUUCUGCGGCCAAACGUUUCCUAGCCGAAACCCUAGCUAGCUCUUUCUUAAUCCAUAAUCUCUCUUCUCUUCUUCUCUUUCUAUCUGCAAAACAAAAAUGUCUCACUUCGGACGUUCGGGUCCCCCAGACAUUUCCGACACUUACUCUCUUCUCGUUCUCAACAUCACCUUCCGUACCACCGCCGACGACCUAUUCCCUCUCUUCGACAAGUACGGGAAGGUCGUCGACAUCUUCAUCCCCAAGGAUCGAAGAACUGGUGAGUCAAGGGGUUUUGCAUUCGUGCGUUACAAGUAUGCUGAUGAGGCUCAGAAGGCCGUUGAGAGGCUCGACGGGAGAAUGGUUGAUGGUCGUGAAAUAACCGUCCAGUUUGCGAAAUAUGGGCCUAAUGCUGAGAGGAUUCACAAAGGAAGGAUUAUUGAAACAUCCCCGAGAUCAAGGCGAUCAAGGAGCCGUAGCCCAAGGAAAAGGCAUCGUGAUGAUUACAAAGAUCGAGAUUAUAGGAGGCGAAGUCGCAGCAGAAGUUAUGAUAGGUAUGAACGUGACAGGCACCGUGGGAGAGACAAAGAUUAUCGUCGCAGAAGCAGGAGCCGUAGUGCCAGUCUUGAUUACAAGGGUCGUGGUAGGGGACGCUAUGAUGAUGAGCGUAAUAGUAGAAGCCGGAGCAGAUCAGUUGAUAGCGGCUCCCCUGCACGGCGCAGUCCUAGUCCUCGAAGGAGUCCUUCCCCUCAGAGGAGCACUUCCCCUCAAAGGAGUCCUUCCCCUAGGAAGAGUCCACGGGGUGAAAGUCCUGCAAAUCGUAGCCGCGAUGGGCGUUCUCCUACCCCUCGCAGUGUCUCACCACGCGGUCGCCCUGAUGCUUCUCGAAGCCCUUCCCCUCGAAAUUCAAAUGGGGAUGAAUAAGCUAUGUUCUUCAUGAAAAAUUCUGGAGACGCCGGACUAUUGCACCUGUAGCUGUUUUGCUAUUGUUGGAUCUUUUAGUCUAUGUGAAUGAUCUUAUCGGAGUCAUUGAAGGAUUUUAUGAUCUAAGUGCUGUUUGUUAUGAUCGGGAAAAGUGAUGAGAGCAUGAUAGGCGCAUGUUGACUUUGUUGCUGUUGAUGCUGUUUCUAUGUCAUUGAUGAUUGGUCGCGAAUUUGAUGCUGGUUGCAAGAGUAUGCUGGUUUUAGGACUGUGAUUGUUUUACCAGUGUGCUGAUUAGACAGACAAUUAGUUGACUUGGUUUUUUCCUGAAUGAUCUGAUCAUUGUUUCCUGAAAAGGAUUCUUGAUGCUGUGAUGAACACGAGUUGAGCAUAUUUUGUCAUGUAGCUGAUGCCUCGUAGGAGUUGGACCUGUCAUUUGUAGAGUUGGACCUGUGGGUACUAAAUAUGAACUUUAAUGUGCUGGUGUUUAUUUCUAGUCACAGUGGUAACACCUUCAUGGUUUAUUUUUAGGGUAUUUUAAUCAAUAAUUUUUAACAUUGAUCUUUCAAGAUUAUAACAUCUGCUACUUAAUGUAGUGAGAUACAAUUGUUGUAGCACACUGCUCCAUGACACUGUAGCUGUGAGGUGGUAGCUGAUGCAUCUUUAAUAAGAAAUGCAUGUGUUCGUGAAUAAUUUGAAGCACUAACCAAUUACUGUAGCUGACUGUUGCUGCCCUUUUUGCUGGGAUCGGGUUGGCAAUGGUAUUAGCGGUUGGUACUGAUGAUGGCUGUCUAGCUGUGCUGCUGGUUUCUGUUGAUUCCAAAGCCGUGUGACAGAAUUGUUUUUCAUUAGUGAUUUGGUUUUGUAGUCUCAAUUUCAGUUAUUCAUUAAUUCUUAUGACACAGAGUUAUCACACUUGUCUUUUUUUGCUUUGAUAUUGUGAUAGCUAUUGCAACAUUGUGUUGUGUUUACUGUUUUGCAACUGAAAUGAUAACCAAUGUGUUUUAGAGACGAGGUUCUUUUAAAUUUACAA